Molecule: long non-coding RNA, 2519 nt
Filed under: Homo sapiens (human)
Lineage: Eukaryota; Metazoa; Chordata; Mammalia; Primates; Hominidae
Description: non-protein coding lnc-TRPV2-5:1
Source: RNAcentral
AAGAAAUUAUUUUAGGCAGAGAGGCAAAGGGGUCCUUGGGAAGUUUUAGUUUUUUAAAGCAUCUCCAGAAAAGUUUCUUGUAAAGCCCCGACUCUUACAGUCAGGCCAUCAACCUUUGAUAUGCAAAUGCAGGCCAUUAGAAACUGGGUCCACCCAACAUGUCAAUUCCCACAGCCUUCUUGCCCUUGCCCCACAUGUUCCUGGCAACAUGGCCACCCCCACCUAUCCCUACGUGUGUAGAACAUCGUGGCGCCCCAUAUUUGCAUAUGGGUGGGAGGGCCAGCUCUUCCUCUGGCUAUUUGAAGACAUGCCUAGUCAAACCAAUCCCCUGAGCCCUAUGCAAAUCAAACACUGCCUUCUCCAGCCUCUGUAUAUAUACCUAGCUGGUAUCCGUGGCAGGUGGGGACCUUCUCUUUCGGCUUUGGAGCCCCCUCUCCUGUCUCUGUACAGGUGAGCUGCUUCUUUCUUCCUUCUCCCUUCCUUCUAGCCCCUUCUUGCCUAUUAAACUCUCUGCUCCUUAAAACAAAAAACAAAACAAACAACAAAAAAGAAACUCUAUGGGAAAGAAGACAAAAACAGAUUUAAAAAACUUUCAGUGCUCUAAUCUCAUAAAAAUACAUAAUUCUAUAAAAUUGUAGGUACAUACUCUUUGUACUCAGAAUUUCCAUUUAACAUUAUUUUACAAGAAGAACUCAACUAAGUGCUGGAGCUAUGCGGUUCCAAUCCUUAUUCUGUCAUUAUAUGACAUAUGGCCUCAAGCAUGACAUUUCAGCAUCAUGGGCUUCACUUUCCCCAUUCAUACACAGUGCAGGGCUCGAUGCUGUUUACACACACGCAUUUGUACAUAUCACUGUAGUGCACAUGCUUGCCAUUUUUAAUGGUUAUAGUGUUCUAAGGGGCUAAUAAUUAUGAAAGAUAGAGCCAUGGGGAGAACAGAAACAGAGGAGUAAGAAUACAUUUUCGGGCACAUGCAAGUGAACUGACACCAGAAGACAAAGAAUGAAACAUAACAGCCUUAAAGUUUUAGAGACCAAAUAAAGGUUUAGUAAGAAAAACUAGUACUUAGAUUUGCAUGAAACAGAUCCUUAGGAUUAAUAUUUAGAUCUUACCAGAAAUCUGCCUUAAGAGAUGUGAUGGGAAAGGAGGGCUAUUAGCUUAUAAACACCGUAAGUUAUAGACAUAUAAUAGUUAAAACACAACGUAUUAGGUAUACAUCUAGUUGCUUUCUUAAUUGCCCUCUACUUAACCCACUUGGCAGAUUAACUGACAAGUUCUAUUCCCUUGUAAAUUUCCUGAUGGCAUUGUCACAGGCCUUUUGCAGCUAAUUUGCUGCUUUCUAGCAUACAUAACAUGGAAGUGUUCUCUCCAAUUUAGGUGCAUGCUUAACAAGAUUUAGUUGUUUGCACCCGAAAGUUUAUCCCAGUUAUGUAAUUAUAUCCCUCAUUACACAGAUAUUAGGUAACUGAUGGCAUGAGUGAAGAGUUGUCUUUAUGAAAACCAACUUGAAUGGUUGGAAAGAAUUGCCAGUGACACUCCGGGAGCAGUGAGAAUCCCUAGUGCCCAGAUCUUGGUUUCUAAAUAGCUACCUAUUAAAAGGAGCCAGGGAUUCUUGGAAAAAGGUUUCAUUCCAGGCCUGGGGCAUUGAAAAUGCAAGGCCAACUUGAGAUAUCUUGUGUUAGAAGGCAAUCAAGUGUCCAAAGACUAGAGAGUGAAUGUCAAAAGGACAUAAGAGAUACUUGAAGGGCUCCACCUGGCCAAAUUUGGGACAAUCUGAACAUCAGAAACAAUGAUCAUAAAUGACUUAACACAUUGAAUCAUGUGUUAUCACUGCAGAUGAAAGCAUCAAACUCUUUACUGGUAAUUAAACUCCUACACUGGUAAUUAAGGUAAAAUAAUUGCUGACUGUGCCUCUAGUGCAUUCCUAGUUGAUGAGGGAACAUUAUACAAGAAUGCCACUCAACAAGUGUAGAGUGAUAGAAUUAGAAAAUUGUCAUUUUGCAAACAUUGAUGAGACAAUGGAUUCAGGCAACGAUCACCGUUGGUUACUUUUUACCAGGUAAAAAGUUGUUGGCAAUCAAAAUAUCCAUGUGCUGCCAGUGUCAGUCCACAGAUUAAUUGCAAUAGGAAAAACUACCUUUAUAUUGGGAAGAUCUGGUGACCUCAAAUGAGUGAUCCAUUGAUAAUGAGUCAACCUGAUAUUAAUGAGACUUUUGAUAUGAUGCACUAUGAAAUACAUCUGUGAGGUGUUAUCAUUAAAAAUGUUUAAACAACCCAAUCAAGCCUUUUGCCCUAACUUCUAAUUUAUGGAAACUACAGGGGGUACCGGAACAACCCACAUGUAAAUAAUCAGUUGAAUCCUGAACAUGAGACAUUUUUCAAGACAACUGACCUGCUCUCUUAAAGAGGAAAAACUGUCCGGGCGCGGUGGUUCACGCCUGUAAUGCCAGUACUUUGGGAGGCUGAGGCGGGUGGAUCACGAGGUCAGGAUAUCGAGACAAGCCUGGCUAACACAGUGAAAC